ACACCUCAACUCUUCAUGGUUUUCCAUGAUGAGCUUGGACUUUGGGGGUUUUGCUGGCCUACAGUCAGCUCCUCUAAAACAAAUCAGCUCACCAGUGUUUGGCGGGUAUCGCAGGUGUGAUAACUAUCUACGCUUGUGGUUUCCCACCAGGUAACCUUCAGUGGUGGAGGUUCACUGGGGCUCACAGACAUGUCUCUCCUCAGUGAGGACAGCCCUUUGAAU
This 222-nucleotide unclassified non-coding RNA is filed under the name uncultured Thelephoraceae. RNAcentral's name for it is "sequence contains ITS2". Lineage: Eukaryota; Fungi; Basidiomycota; Agaricomycetes; Thelephorales; Thelephoraceae. The record is from RNAcentral.